CAGGGUCUUGCUAUAUAUUCAAGGUUGGUCUUGAACACACUGUAGUCCAGGCUGACCUCGAACUUGCAUCAAUCCUCAUGCCUCAGUCUCCUGAGUGCUGGGUCUACAGGUGUGCGCCACCACAGCCAGCUAUAUUUUAAAUUCUGAGACAAGGUCUUACUAAGUUGUCCAAGCUGGCCUUGAUCUUGCCCUCCUACCUCAGCCUCCAGAGUAGCUGUAAUUACAAGUGUGUGCUACAUGCCUAUACAAUUAGUUUCUUACAGAUUGUAAAUUGGGACAUGUUGGAGUUGCUGGUUGAGGAUGUAGGACAUUUAGAGACUUUACAAAAGUGUUCAUAAUUAGACUUUACUUUUUUCUAUUUUCCCUAUAUAGCCUUUGCCACCGUUUUACAACCUUAUUAUCUUUAUUUUUUGGUACCAGGGAUUGAACUCGGGUCCUUGCUCUUGCGAAGCAGGCGGUGAAACCACUGAGCUAAAUCCCCAGCCCUUAUUAUCUUAUUUUAGAGGUACCCUAUUGAGAAUAGUGGGCUGCUGUACUUAGCUCAAAGAGACCAGAGAAUAAAGAGUAGCCAAACUACAUAUCCUGCUACUCAUAUUCAGUCCCAGGUGGAGCCCCUGAAGCAAGCAUAAGGGAAAAAAGGCAUUAAGAAUGAGCUAAAUGGGCCGGGGAUUUAGCUCAAUGGUUCGGCCACCUGCCUUGCAAGCUCAAGGUCCCGAGUUCAAUCCCCGGUACCAAAAAAAAAAGCAAAACCCAAGAAUGAGAUAAAUGUCUUAUGUAUGAGCAUACACUAAAACAGUAGGUCCUGAGUCCGAUCCCCAGUAUGAAAAAAAACCAACUCACCCUUGUUUUGAACACAUACAAUCUUGCUUUCUGAAACAGUCCCGGAAAUCCCUUUCUCCUGAGUGUAUUUAGUUGCACUCUUGUGGCUGCAUUAAUGUCCCAAAUUGAAUUAAAACAUUUACUUUUCGUGGUCAUUUUGACUUCAAAGAGCCAGAAGUUACAUAGUGCCACAUGGCCACAUGUAAUGAAUAAGGUGGCUGAAUGAAACACUUAUGUUUUUAUUUGACAGAAAUUGCUAUACCAGAAGUGAUACAUGACAGCAUUAUGAUGGAGAAUGAACUGUUGGCCCAUUUCUCAGGCUGUUUUCUAUACACACAUUUUUGGGUUUUUUUCAGUACUGGGGAUCAAACUCAGGACCUUGCACUUGUGAGGUAGACACAGUGCCACUGAGCUAAAUCCCCAGCCCCAACACACAUCAUUUUUUAAAAUUAAGCCCUUACAACAAACAUUCAGAGUUCACCAUAGUGUUCCUGGGCACAAACUUACUUUGCACAAUUCAUUGUCAAAAAAGAUCAGGCCAGGGGCUGGGGAUUUAGCUCAGUGGUUUCGCUGCCUGCUGCGCAAGCGCAAGGACCCAAGUUCGAUCCCCGGUACCAAAAAAAAAAAAGAUCAGGCUGGAGGGUAUAGCCUAGUAAGUUGCUGGCAUGACCUGUGUUAAGGACUUGGGUGCAAACCCAGUAUACCACCAUCACUGAAAAAAAAAAAUUGUUUUACACAUGAGAAUUGGGUAAUUUCCAUUGAGGAGGACUCAACCUUGGUCUUAGGAUCAUAACCACAGACUCAAAUAUCAUUGUUCAUGAUCACAUUUCUUAACCCAUUUAUGCCUAGUGUUCCAAGUUUGGAGUGCCACAAACAAUGGAACAUAAUAAAAGUUUUUCUCUUCAAGUUUUUGUUCCUUGAAUUUUUCUGGUUAACAAUUUAAUGCAAAAAAAUUUUUAAAUUGUAAUCUUUGGGAUAAAUUGAUUAAAACUGCAAUUUGAAGCUGCAGAAUUGUGCAACUCUUGAAAUUCCCAAAUUGCUUUGUUCUAGUCACAACUUGUAUUAAAUUUAGCACUGUCCUCAUGUUCAAAUCUGUUGGAAUGCUUUGAGAAAAACCAUAGUUAAAACUUGCCACACAUUGUUAGAAAAGUUCAGUGCACUGUUUUUCCUAUUGAAGGUCCUUUCUAUUGGGUGGUACUUGGAAGCAGCAUUCACUAUUUUUUGAACACAUCUCUAAUUUCAGUGUUAGCAAAAUCAUCUGUGACCCAUUUAUCAGUGUCUGCAGUGAAUUCCAGCUUUGAUCCUUGGGCUUUUAUCAUUUGCAAUAGUAUUUUAUACUUUGGCUCAUAGUAAAAGAUUACAGGUCAGUUUAUAAUGCUUUUGGUGAUAGUACUGUAGUUUCUGUUGGAGGAUAGGUAAAGUUACCUAAAUAAAAAAAGACCAACAAGCUAGAGAAGACUAUUAUAUUAUAAACAUAAGGGUUAAGUUAACCAAGAUACAUCAUGUAAAGGUACAGGAUCCCAAUGAUGAAUGUAACUGUAUUGUAUACCUAAAAUGUACCAAUAAACUUAAUGGAAAACAACAAAAA
Heterocephalus glaber (naked mole-rat) is the source of this 2407-nucleotide long non-coding RNA. Lineage: Eukaryota; Metazoa; Chordata; Mammalia; Rodentia; Bathyergidae. The record is from Ensembl.